RNAcentral lists this long non-coding RNA (233 nucleotides) under Capsicum annuum. Its description in RNAcentral is "long non-coding RNA (CANN_LNC009597)". The record is from RNAcentral. Lineage: Eukaryota; Viridiplantae; Streptophyta; Magnoliopsida; Solanales; Solanaceae.
CCAAAACUAAAAUAUCUUUCCAUAAAGUCUCCAAAUAGCUACUAGAACCCGAGCUUGGACAUGUUAAUACGGAUAAUUGUUUCUUCUUUAUUUAUUUAAGAUAGGGAGAGGUUAAAAAAAAACUAUAAAUGCACCAAUCCAAUCAUUUGAGACGACAGAGAAUGAAAUGCAACGAACAAUAAAUCAAGUUCGAAAAGUGAAGGGAAAAAAAGAGAAACCAAUAGAAAGUCGCC